Molecule: non-coding RNA, 303 nt
Organism: Xyrichtys novacula (pearly razorfish)
Lineage: Eukaryota; Metazoa; Chordata; Actinopteri; Labriformes; Labridae
Source: the annotation of a GenBank genome assembly
GACGGAUUGACCUGAAAUUUUCACCAGAGGUGCGUCUCAGCCCCAGAAAGAUCCCAUUACAUUUUGGUGGUGAUCCGGAUCGCCUUCUGGAUCCAGGAAUUUUUUGAAGGAUUCUUUAUCAUUGUGAGAUAGGGCAAAUUUUGGAAUUUUUGCAUUUAACUCUAUAAAAAUGUCCAGAGUCUUUAGUAAAAAAUGACACAAAAGGAUCUCAAUGAGUUUUAUGAGGUGUCAAAGGUUGAUCCUGAUCCAGACAAAAUUCCAGAUACUGUGAUCCAGAACACACAAAAAUAAGGGUGUCAUUGG